GACGAACGCUGGCGGCGUGGAUUAGGCAUGCAAGUCGAACGGUAGGAUACCUUCGGGUAUCUGAGAGUGGCGAACGGGUGAGUAACACGUAGGUGAUCUACCCUCAAGAUUGGGACAACCCAGGGAAACUUGGGCUAAUACCGGAUGAAAGCAGCAGUGAUGUUGUUUGAAAGGUGGCGUAAGCUGCCGUUUGGGGAUGAGCCUGCGCUCUAUUAGUUAGUUGGCGGGGUAAAGGCCCACCAAGGCGAUGAUAGAUAGGCGGCCUUAACGGGUGGUCGCCCACACUGGGAUUGAGAUACGGCCCAGACUCCUACGGGAGGCAGCAGUCGAGAAUAGUCUACAAUGGCCGAAAGGCUGAUAGUGCGACGCCGCGUGAACGAAGAAGCCCUUCGGGGUGUAAAGUUCUUUUAUAUGUGAGCAGUGCCUUCUAUGUGAACAGCAUGGGGAGAGAGAUAUUAGCAUAUGAAUAAGCAACGGCUAACUCCGUGCC
RNAcentral lists this ribosomal RNA (490 nucleotides) under uncultured bacterium. RNAcentral's name for it is "bacterial SSU rRNA". It matches the Rfam family "Bacterial small subunit ribosomal RNA", at positions 28 to 509 of the family's 1533-position model. The record is from RNAcentral.